This is a long non-coding RNA of Hypanus sabinus (Atlantic stingray), 284 nucleotides long. RefSeq lists it as uncharacterized. The transcript has 3 exons. The record is from RefSeq and is a predicted model, not a curated record. Lineage: Eukaryota; Metazoa; Chordata; Chondrichthyes; Myliobatiformes; Dasyatidae.
GCUGCCCUCAUUGUGACAGUGGCCGGUCUCUCGAUCCAUGUAUCGCAGAUACGUCAGUCUCUUAAACGAAUGCAGAGCGAUCUCAGUCACCAGUUCACUGAGAUGGAAACGAAGUACAGAUCUGUCAACGAAACCAAGGCUGAAAUCUGUGAAAUUUUGACCAGCAGAAGAGAGCAAAACAGUUCCAAGGACUGGGUCACAAAUAAAGACCGGUGUUAUUACGUAUCCAGGUUUGAAGCAUCUUUCCAAAAAGCGAUACAAGAAUGUUCAAUCCGUGAUUCAAG